GUGCAAUGCUUUGCAAUUAGCACCAUGCAUUGCAAUUAGCACCGUGCAUUUUAAUGAGCACCGUGCAAUGAGUGCAAUGCUUUGCAAUUAGCACGGUGCAUUCCAAUGAGGACCAUGCAAUGCAAUUAGCAGCGUGCACUGCAAUUAGCACCGUGCAAUGCAUGCAAUGCCUUGCCGUUAGCACCGUGCAUGUUAAUGAGCGCCGUGCACUGAGUGCAACGCUUUGCAAUUAGCGGCGUGCACAUUAAUGAGCGCCGUGCAAUGAGUGCAACGCUCUGCCACCUCCGCCGCGCGCAGCCCCGCGCCGUUCACUCAUUAGCACCGCGCCGUUAAUUAGCGCCGCGCCGUUCCGGGGAGCCCGUGCAGCGCUCCGCAAUUCAUCAGCGCUCCGCAAUUCAUCAGCGCUCCGCAAUUAAUUAAUCAAUGGGCGCCGCCCGCCCUCAAUGCUCCCCCGCCCCAGCUCACCUGCCCGCCGCCGGAACCGGAAGCGAGUGGGCGGGGCUCCGGCCGGAAGCGGAAGCGGAGCCAGAGAGGAGCGGAAGUGACGAGGGGGGAGGAGCGGAAGGGGGCUGCUCGCGCGCUGGCAACGCCUCACGUGACCACGGACAACUUCCGGUCCAGCCUCCACCCACUUCCUGCCCUCGCUCCGUUACCAGUCUACUUCCGGUCCCUUACUGCGUCACUUCCGGCGCGACGCCUCCUCCCGUCAUGGCGGAUCCUCCGGCGCUCUCCGCUCCUCCGGGGACGGCGGAGAACGGCGCCGCGGGGCGGACCCCCACCCCACCCCGGGGAGAAGCGGGACCCGGGCCUCCCCCGCCG
This 819-nucleotide long non-coding RNA is filed under the name Numida meleagris (helmeted guineafowl). RNAcentral's name for it is "lncRNA (ENSNMEG00000006295.1)". Lineage: Eukaryota; Metazoa; Chordata; Aves; Galliformes; Numididae. The record is from RNAcentral.